UUUUCUUCUUGACAGGUGAAAGUUGCCCUUUAUUUUUUUCUAUAUAAGCAAGGUAGCCUUUUCUUUUUCAAGGUAACCCUACUAUUUCUCACAGUUGGGUUGCAGGUGCUCGUUAGCAUGGGUGUUUCUGUGGACAUCCCAUAGUAUCUAUGACAACUAUAUAUACAUUUUAAUAAUGGAUUUUUAACUCCUACCUUGAUGACAGGCCAAUCUUAAUGGGUUUUUCACAUUUCUAGCCCACUUCAUAACACCAAGGAUUAGGUGAUGCACUGGUAUCUGUCGAGUGUGCCGAAAGCUGCAUCCAGUGGAAGAAUCACCAAAUUAGUUCUUUCUCUCCACUCCUAAGCCACAGGAUAUUUCUUCUUUAUAGAUUUAAGCAACAUGAUGACUGAAUUUCCUAUUCUGCAGAAACAUAAGUCAUUUGUCAACACUAGUUAGGAUUGAAUGAAAAGCCUGUCACGUAAGUGUCACAGUAGCACUUCACGCUGCACUCUUUUCCCUGGUCAUUCUCCUCAUCUUCUUUAGCACACAGCACAGAGCUAAUGAAGUGGCAGCAUAUCCAGAAUUUUCUUACAGUACAAAUCACUUUGAAAUGGUGCUAAAGUAAUCUUGUAUUUGGGAUGUCCAGCCACGUGUGUCUACUCCACUAUUGGUGCCACAUUUGGGCAAGAAACAUCCCUGCAGCAUGCAGACUGGCUAGGAUGCCAACUGUUCCCAGAAGCAUUCAAACACUGCACCAAGGCUCCUCAACAUCCUCAAAACAUGGUGGAUUGAUCCUUGAGAAACAGCUGGAAUUUGUUGCUCCAUGGCUUCAGUUCUACUGUUCCAGGAACUGAUGUUUUCACUCUACAUAAGGAAGAAUUAAAGUGUCAAGGCACACAAACCAAGCAUUUGGAAUGGCCUGGGUAGCAGAGAGCCCAGAUUUAACAGCUGAUCAGUGCAUUCAGGCAUAUCUUGGUUUCACUCUUACACUACCAAGUUUCAAGUAUCCUGACAGCUUGUAUGUCCACCACAACAAAGGAAAACCAUUAAAAAUCACCAACACAAGUAGAGAGUGAUUAUCCCAUUUUCCUUCAGUUAGUAAGAUUAAAGAACACUCAAAAGAAUCACCACAUUAAGUACUUAUAUAUUUUAAUCUUAUUCAGGCCCACUGUCAUGGUUUAAGCCCAACCAGUAACUCAGAACCAUGCAGCCGCUCGGUCACUCCCUCCCUUCUUCCCCUGCGCUCCUGGAGGGAUGGGGAGGAGAAUCAAAAGCAUGUAAACCCCACGGGUUGAGAUCAGAACAGUCCAGUAACUAAGGUAUAAUACAAACCACUACUGCUACCACCAAUAAUAAUAACAAUGAUAAAGGAAAUAACAAGGGGAGAGGAUACAAUUGCUCAGCACCCACUUACCGAUACC
RNAcentral lists this long non-coding RNA (1403 nucleotides) under Strigops habroptila (Kakapo). RNAcentral's name for it is "lncRNA (ENSSHBG00005013968.1)". Lineage: Eukaryota; Metazoa; Chordata; Aves; Psittaciformes; Psittacidae. The record is from RNAcentral.